Molecule: ribosomal RNA, 1127 nt
Filed under: Cephaleuros virescens
Lineage: Eukaryota; Viridiplantae; Chlorophyta; Ulvophyceae; Trentepohliales; Trentepohliaceae
Description: SSU rRNA
Rfam family: Eukaryotic small subunit ribosomal RNA
Source: RNAcentral
UAGGAUUACGCCUGCAUGUCUAAGUAUAAGCUUUAUACUGUGAAACUGCGAAUGGCUCAUUAAAUCAGUUAUAGUUUAUUUGAUGGUGUUUCUUACUCGGAUAACCGUAGGAAAACUAGAGCUAAUACGUGCGUAAAUCCCGACUUCGGAAGGGACGGAUUUAUUAGAUAAGAGGCCGACCGGGCUUGUCCCGACCUUCGGUGAAUCAUGAUAACUUCACGAAUCGCAUGGUCCAGAACCGGCGAUGUUUCAUUCAAAUUUCUGCCCUAUCAACUUUCGACGGUAGGGUAGUGGCCUACCGUGGUGGUAACGGGUGACGGAGGAUUAGGGUUCGAUUCCGGAGAGGGAGCCUGAGAAACGGCUACCACAUCCAAGGAAGGCAGCAGGCGCGCAAAUUACCCAAAUCCCAAUUCGGGGAGGUAGUGACAAGAAAUAACGAUGCUCCGGCCUCUGGUCGGGUAAUCGGAAUGAGAACAAUUUAAAUCCCUUAUCGAGGAUCAAUUGGAGGGCAAGUCUGGUGCCAGCAGCCGCGGUAAUUCCAGCUCCAAUAGCGUAUAUUUAAGUUGCUGGGGUUAAAAAGCUCGUAGUCGGAUUUCGGGUGGCGCCUACCGGUCCGCCUUUGGUGAGUACUGGUAGGUACCACCUUUCUGCCGAGGACGGGGUUCUGGGCUUACUUGUCUGGGCCCCGGAGUCGGCGAUGUCACUUUGAGUAAAUUAGGGUGGUCAAAGCAGGCUUAUGCUCUGUAUACACUAGCAUGGGAUGACACGAUAGGACUUCGGUUUAUCUUGUCGGUCUGUAAAUCGGAGUAAUGAUGAAGAGGGACAGUCGGGGGCAUUCGUAUUUCGUAGUCCGAGGGGAAAUUCUUGGAUUUACGGAAGACGAACUUCUGCGAAAGCAUUUCCCAAGGAUGUUUUCAUUGAUCAAGAACGAAAGUCGGGGGCUCGAAGACGAUUAGAUACCGUCGUAGUCUCGACCAUAAACGAUGCCGACUAGGGAUCGGAGGUGGUUUUUUUAUGACCUCUCCGGCACCUUACGAGAAAUCAAAGUUUCUGGGUUCCGGGGGGAGUAUGGUCGCAAGGCUGAAACUUAAAGGAAUUGACGGAAGGGCACCACCAGGCGUGGAGCC